UGCAAACAGACAGACUGACUUUCUGAGUGAGUGGGGGUCCCCCUCGGGUUCCUACUCUGGAGAAAUCGGGGUCGCGUUCCGGGGAGGGGGGUCCCCCUCGGGUUAAUUCGCAUGAUUUGCGUGGUGGGUAAACACGCUACGCUUCUAACAGAGAAUUUCGUUCAAUUCACUGGGACUUUCCGUCUGACAUUUCAGCAUUUCCGGCUGACAUUUGAGGGUGAGUAAUGUGUGACGCUGACUGACCCAAUAAAAGCUUUAGGACGUUCAUCUCUUCUUUCACAGCAUUACAGCCAACGUGGUGUUGAAUUCAAGACUGAAAUUAAAUUCUGUCUUGAAUGUGGCCAUGACAAUCAUCCGGCAGGACGCUCUUCUUCUGAAGUCCACUCACAGGAGCGAUAAAACAACCUCUCUACACCAGAAGAGAAGUCUUCUAAGGGAGCUGCUGACAGAGAUGUAGGGAACACUGCGUUGUGGCUGGAUUAUUGCCUGACUGAUUGUCACAGUCGAAAAUAAUGAACGUUGGAGGUAUUGUGUUUAAUAUAAAGUACGCUUUUAUGUUUUUAAAUUAUGUGUAGUAUUUAUUGCAAGUGUGUUUUAAAUUAUUGAUGUGUUUUAUAUUGUAAAUGUCUUUGCUGUAAUAGGCUGGGUUUUCCCUUUCAAGGAUGCACGGUUACCAUUUACUUCAGAUCUAAUACUCUUGUUAUUGCCUUCUAUUUCUUUUGUUGUGAGAAUGUGAGACCCAGACUGGCAGAGGAGAGAUUAGGCCCCGAAGAACCUGGGUUAAUAGUGAUUCUGUUAUGAUUCUGACUUGUGUUUGUCACUUGCAUUACCCACUGUUAAUUAAUUUUUUUUUUUUUUGCAAUCUUGAACAGAUCUCAUGCCUUUUCAAGUUAUUACAUUUUGGUGACAAGGAUAAGUGAAGGGAAUACUUUGAGGACGAAACAAGUUUUUUUUUUUUUUUUUUGGAAGGUGAAAAGGCUGGAUCUCUAUGAGUUGGAGCUUUGGAAAAGAAGAUGGCCAAUCUGGUAGGAACACCAUUUGAUCGUCAGUCCCAGUCUUGGGAAGAAUAUUGUGAAAUAUUGCAACAUUUCUUUGAGGCAAAUGAGAUUACUGAAAUAGCCAAGCAGAACGUUAUAUUGUUGAGGUCUGUGGGAAGUCAAACAUACAGUCUACUGAGAAAUGUAUUAAGCCUGGUUAAAUCAGGCAGAAAGAUGUUUGAUGAAUUAGUGGACUUGCUUAAAGAGCAUUUCAACCCAAAGCCCAGUGAAAUUGUACAACGAUUUAAAUUCAAUUCAAGAUCAAGAGAAGAGGGGGAACUGUGCUUGAUUAUGUAGCAGUAUUGAGGAAAUUGGCUCAUGAUUGUAAUUCUGGAGAAAAAUUGACAGAAAUGCUUCGGGAUGGACUGGCAUGCGGCAUAAAUGAUGACCGUAUUCAACGUAGACUAUUGGCAGAAACAGAUUUAACAUUUGAGAAGGCAUUAAAAAUAGCCCAAGCAAUGGAAACGUUUGCAACAUUUGGCUAACAAAUGUAGAUUUGCUUCUGAGAAAUGUCAUAAAUGUGGGAAACAAGGACACAUAAUGAAAGUAUGUAGAUCAAAAACUUCCCUUGGGGAACCCAAUUUUCAAGGGGGUGGAAGACGUAAGAGAGAAGGACAGAGAAUGCAUUAUGUGAGCAGAGAUAAAAAAAAAGUGCAUCUGCAUCUGAUGAAGAAGGUAUUCAUGCAGUGUACAGUUUGCAAGAAACAGAAAUUUUGAAAGUGGCUGUCAAUGAGUCAAAUGCACAGUUUGAAGUGGAUACAGGAUGUGGUGUGACAUUAAUGAAUAGGUCCAACUUUGCCAAAUUGUGGGAAAAAGAUCAAAUUCCUGAAUUAAAGGCUUGUUCUUUGAAUUUAAAGACCUAUACUGGAUCUAAAGACCUAUACCAAGAUCUAACUGUGUUGGGUUCUGCACAAGUAGAAGUCAGAUACAAAGGCACAGUGAAGAAGUUACCAGUAGUGAUAGUACCCGAAGCAGGACCCAAUUUAUUGGGCAGAAUGGGAGGCCCUACAUUGGAUGCAAGGGGUGAAAAAUUGUAUUUUGCCUGAAGUUCUCAGCCAACAUGAAGAAUUGUUUAAAGAGGAGUUGGGGGAAUUGAAGGGAAGAUUUAUGUAGAUAAGGAAGCAGUCCCACGGUUUUUCAAAGGUAGGCAAAGGUAGAAGUGGAAAUAGAACGCUUGUUAAAGGGAUAGUUCACCAAAAAAUGAAACUUGAUGUUUAUCUGCUUACCCCCAGGGCAUCCAAGAUGUAGGUGCCCUGAGUGCGUGCACAGCAUCCGGUGCGUGGCAUCUGUAUGUGCUCUGCACGCGCUCAGGGCAGUUGGACAUAGUGGUUUAUUAGAGGUAAAAAAUAAUAAAAAUACUGUUCAGUUUCUCGCACAAACCGAUUGUUUCGUGUCUUAGGACAUCAAUGUAUCGUCACGAGCAGCAGGGUUUAAUUUGGAUUUGUCAGUGCAUGUUUAUUUUUACUCUCAAAGAUUGUGUGCCCAUUGACCUGCAUUAUAGGACUGACAGACGGUUUGAGUUAAAAACCUUCGUUUGUGUUCUACUGAAGAAACAAAGUCACCUACAUCUUGGAUGCCCUGGGGGUAAGCAGAUAAACAACACAUUUUCAUUUUUGGGUGAACUAUCCCUUUAAGAGAAAACAUCGUAGAACCUGUUAAACACUCUGAAUCGGCUGCACCAGCAAGUACCUGUUCUAAAGUCUGAUAUUAUGGUACGUUUAUGUGGUGACUACAAACUAACAGUAAACAUAGUUUCGAAGUUGGAACAGUACCCCAUUCCUCAGAUAGAGGAUUUGUUUGCAACUUUGUCAUGGGGACAGAAGUUCAUAAAAUUGGAUAUGAGCCAUGCUUAUCACCAGAUUGCAUUAGAUUCAGAGUCCAGGAAAUAUGUCACAGUGAAUACCCACAAAGGGCUGUUUUACCUUUUGGAGUCUCUUCUAGCCCCGCCAUCUUCCAACGGACCAUUGAGGGGGUACUGCAGGGUCUUCCACAUGUGGCAGUUUUCCUUGAUGAUAUCCUGGUAACCGGUCGUAAUGAUGAAGAGCAUCUCCAAACUCUUGCUGGAGUAUUGGAUAGAUUGCAGGAAGCGGUUGAAACGGAGUAAAUGUACCUUCAUGGAAAAAGAGGUAAUGUCCUUAGGUCAUAAAGUGGAUGAGACAGGCCUCCAUCUCGCACCAGAAAAGUUGACAGCUAUUCAAAAUGCACCCUCGCCAAAGAAUGUGACAAAAUUGGAAUUGACCUGAUAAACCAUGGCAACGAUUGCAUGUGGAUUAUGCAGGACCGUUUAUGGGAAAAAUGUUUUUUGCUUUCAUUGAUGCACAUUCAAAAUGGAUGGACGUGUGUCCAGUGAAUUCAGCCACAUCUGCUUCCACUAUUGAAUGUUUGCGGAAUAGCUUCAGUAACCAUGGAUUACCCGAACUGAUUGUAUCAGUUAAUGGUGCUUGCUUUAUUAAUGUCGAAUUCAAAGAGUUCCUGAAUAAAAAUGUACGGCAUGUUACUUCUGCACCUUACCAUGCUUCUAGUAAUGGUUUAGUGCAACGGGCUGUCCAAACUGAUAAAACCAUGCUAAAAAAAAGUGUUGAUGGAACAAAUGCAACUAAAUUGUCUUGAGUUUUAUUCAGUUACAGGAUCACUCCCCAGACCACUACAGGGCUCUCUUCAGCUGAAAUAUUAUAUGGACAGAAGUUAUGUUGGACUUAUACUUCCUGAUUUGACAAGGAAGAUUCAUGAACAACAUCAAAAGCAAAAGGUCCAUCAUGAUAAAAAGGCUCAUGGAAAGAGUUUUUGUGUUGGAGAUCCAGUACUUACUCUGAACUUCACUUAUGGACCUAAAUGGAUUCCGGUGCAUAUAGCGACUGUGACUGGACCACUUUCUUAUAAAGUAAUGCUGGGCGAUGGGCGAGUGGUUCGACGACAUGUGGAUCAGAUUCAUGGCUGACAGAAAUUGCUUGUGAACACUUUAGAGGAAGGAAUGGAUUGUAAAUUCCCUGAUUUCGACAUUUCUGGAAACUCGACACAUAUUUGGCUACAGAGACUGAGAAAACGGGGACUGAGGACAUUUCUAGUAAAACUCUGAAGUACCUGGGGAUUUCUCUCAACAUUCUGAGACAUUCACUGAAAUGAACAAACCUGCUAGUCCUGUUGUAAUUAUGAGACGGUCACAAAGAACCAAGAAGUUGCCUACUCAUUUGAAAGAUUAUGAACUGAAGUAAUAUGGAAUGUGAAUUGAAGAUUGAAAAAAAAAAAAAAAAAAGAGAAUAAAUGAAUUGUAAAUGGUGAGGCUAUUUUUUGAUUUAUGUAAUUGUGAUGAUAUUUGUAAUGGUAUUGUAGUUAUAUGUUUGUGGAGAGAAUAGCAUUGUGAUUAUGUAAGCUUGGGGGGGAAAGAGAUGUUGUAGAGUGACAAUGAAGCGUCAGUUGUUGAGAUGACCUGAAGAGAGCAGGCUAACUUUGUUUUGCUUAAAAAGCAGCAGAGAAGAACUUAGUGUGUGCGCAAAUUGACUCCACCUGUGAUGUGAUUGAGUGUACUGCUUGUUGAUGCAUUCUGCUGAGUAAAAUGCAAUAUUGAACAGA
Long non-coding RNA from Onychostoma macrolepis, 4607 nucleotides. RefSeq lists it as uncharacterized. The transcript has 3 exons. Lineage: Eukaryota; Metazoa; Chordata; Actinopteri; Cypriniformes; Cyprinidae. The record is from RefSeq and is a predicted model, not a curated record.